GUAGUAACCUGCCAUCUUCUUUUUAAGGACUUUAUUCUCUUUAAUAAUAAAGAUUACUUUCCACUGCUUUAUCUCUAGCCUUCAUGCCAGAAUAUCUUCCCUGUUCUACUACAGAAGCUUUUGUUUCCAUCUGGGCUUACAUAGGGCUAAUACUACACUACCAUUCUAUGAUUGUAGAUAUGCAGUGAUGGACUUGCAGGCACUAACAGGUGCUAAUGGCAAGCUGUGGGAAUCGCACUCAAAGGGUUAAAACUGCCAGUACCUGCUUCUGUGAUGCAGAGCUGGGAGGUGGAGGCCUUGAGAGAUCAGCCUGAAAAGUAGCCGAGUGAGGAAGCCUUGUGGAGGCAAGAUGGUUCUGUUUUGGCUGCAAAUGCUGGGAUUGAGAGAAAAGCAGCUUCCAAACAGUUUCAGCAAGGCCACAGGUGCCCAGAGUGAGAGAACUGCAUGAGCCAUGCAAUGGAUACUCAGGUUAGCACCCCUGUGACACCCCUGACGAUGAAAAUGAGCAAAAAGAGGGAUGUGCUAAACCAGAAAUAACUGUUCCUCAACUCUCCACCCAAAUCAUGUCAAAUGUCACCCCAGGGAUGAACAGAGAAGUCAAAGUCCCUAGGGGAGAGGAGAGGUUUUUUGGCUUUUUAGCCUUUUUAGUGUUUUGAAUGCUUUUGCUCUGCUGCUUCAGAGAGAUGCAGCAGGACCAAAGAGACUGAAGACCCAGGUGAGGCAGGUGAUGGACUGUACUCUUCUUCCUCACCCAAGCCAGGGACACCUUGGUAAGAAUCAUGCUUUUUGUCUAGGUGACAAUCCCCAGGACAAGCAUUGCUGCCAUUUUGAUCAUAUAUUAGCACAACUGCAGUGUGUUUAUCAACAGCAGUGUCCAAUCUGUGAUAUCUGUCACCUUCCUAAUUUCUCAUAAAUUCUAAUGCUUGACUUUUGAAGCAGUUUUCAGUGAAAGUCCCCAGCAGCAGCUCCUGACAGACUAGUCAAGCUCAACCUUCACGUGACACAAGCCAUUGGCCACUGGCAGCCAACGUGCUGAGGCCAGAAGAGCGUGAAUGUGCAGAGAAACCUUAAAGCUAGCUACUGAGUAAGUGCCUGGGAGUGACUGCUCUGCUAAGAACACCUGGGCCAUAUGUGGCAGGCCUUUCCAGACUGCUUUCCAGGUGUUAAAUGACCUGCAACUAAUAGUUCUCCAUGUCCAGCCAUUCAUUCUGUCAUUGCCAAGUGUUGCACGCAGCAGGGUCGUGUUCUGAGCCAGAAACGUGAGCUGCACCGACGACAUUGGCCACUGGAUGGGGAACUUUGCUAAGCAGUCAUGUCAUAGGUUAGCUGCAAAUUUAGAUUGUUUCUUUUUGGUAGAUGAACAUUUGAAUAGAAAGACUCCUAUGUAGUGGAACUGCUAGUCAAACUGUUUUUCCUGAGUUUAACUUGCUUAUUGUGUGUCAUUCUGAGGCUAAGGAAGUUAAGAGGCAUCUUAAAUAUGAGAGUGUAGGGAUGAAAUGAAAAUCAAGUUUAUAGUGUCUUGAUAAUUCUGUCUCUGCACAGGCACAAGUCAGAAUGUCUUCCAAGUCAGAUUUGUUUAUGGGAAACCUCAUUGCUGGUCUAAAAAUUAUUAAAGAAGUACUUGUAAAUUUUACUCAAGUGACUUUCUACCACUGAGAUACUCUUGUAUGUGUGUGUGUGUGUGUGUGUGUAUAUAUAUACACCUCCAAAUGCUACUUAAAUCACAGACAGCAACACAAAUUUUCCUUGCAAAGUGAAGUGGAAUGCUGUUCUGUUCCUGGAGAAGGGUGGUGAGAAAGGUUCUGCUUGCAGUGAUCACAGGUACAGGCUAAAUCCUUUGGGGCCAUAGUUUGUCCCCAGUGCUGCAGGUGGCAGUCAUUGUCUGCACUGCAAGCCUGAGGCAAAAGGCCAGUCCUGACAACUGAAUGUGCAAAACAAUAAAGCUCUUGGGGGUGUGCACUCAUUGUUUCAGAAGAAUUGUAGGCAUUGAUUUGAGGGUUAUGCCAUUCUUCUCUUUUAAGUUGGCCACUUGUAAUCAUUUUUUGUAUAAACGCAAGAACAAGUGUUAGGUGAAGCAGCCUGGCCCUCCAGGAAAGGGUUUUAAACUAUUUUGAACUGAUCCCUUUCCAUCUUGAUCUUCUUGAAUAUUCUUUCUAAGUAAUUCUGGUUUGGCUCUUUGCAGAACUGGUUUAGGAUCCUCCACCUUGAAACAACCACAGAAUUAGAUGCUGCUGUAUUUAUCACUGUACCAACAACAACAAAGAACCACAGAAUCACUGGAGCAGGAGCUAAACAGAUGUGACACCAGUUAUUUUGUAUUUUCCUCUUGUUUUCUGAAAACAUCACAUGCUCUGAAUCAGUUGGAAUCCUAAACAACUUAAGGGCUCUUUUCAGAACCUAGAGUUAUCAAUGUUCUCCCUUCUGUAACUUGUAUUAAUGUCCAUUCAGUUUUGUUCUCUCUGAACUUGGGCACUGUGUGUUACCUAAGCAUUCAUAUUUUAGGCCAGAGUUCUUAUUGAGUAAUUGUUAACUUUCUUGUCUCCUAAGGUGGUGGGUUGAGGGGCUUUUUUUCCUCUUCCAAAAACUGAAAGCAAUUGUGAAAUGAGGCAGCUGAGUGCCUGGGUGGGAAGGGAGAAGCACUGAAAUGCAUUUACCUCCUGCAAAACUCUAAUGGUCUGAAAAGCAGUUGGCAAAGAUCAUGUUAAGCUAAGUUUGCACUGCCUGCAUUCUUUUCUUUCUUGGGGAGCUCUGACCACAUGCUCUCCAGUUGCACUGGUGUUGCCUGACUGUUUGCCCACCACCAGCUCGAGAGGACUGAGAUAAAGCCUUUUUUACUGUAAUUCUUCUGCUCUCUGCCAUAGGGUCAGCAGGAAUCAACAGGAAGGAGCAUCUCUCUUGCCUCUGGCACACUAUAGCUGAAGCCUCACUUGUCUCUUCACCAUUACUCCCAAAUCUACAGUUCCUUGUUCACACUAGCUUCAAAUGGAGCUGAAUCCUUGCUCAUCAGCAGCAAGUAAGCAGCUCAUGGCCCCAGCAGAUAUUUCUGCAUGUUAGGCUAAUGAGAACUUCUGGGAUUACUGCAGCCUUCCCUGCCUUGGAGCAGACAUCCCUCUGUCAGAGAUCUGGAAACUCAUACUGAAUGUGAUAAACAAAACUACUGGCUGGACUGUGAUUUUCAGGACAUGAGAAGAGCUCCACAGCAACAGAAGAUGGAACAGCUCUGAAAGGCACCACUGACCCACACUGAUUAAGAGCAUUUCCAGUGCUUACAUUCCUGUUCAACUCUCAGGAAUGAUUUUCAGUUGUUUCUUCCAGUGCAUUUGUGUGUGGUCUGUAAAGCAAGCACGGGGAUGGAGGAUAAGUUUUGCAGAAUAGUCUCAAAAUGAUGAGUUUCUUUUAAAGUAUUCCUGUGAUAAUG
Colius striatus (speckled mousebird) is the source of this 3418-nucleotide long non-coding RNA. RefSeq lists it as uncharacterized. The record is from RefSeq and is a predicted model, not a curated record. NCBI's taxonomy places the organism in Eukaryota, Metazoa, Chordata, Aves, Coliiformes, Coliidae. The transcript has 2 exons.